Long non-coding RNA from Chelonia mydas (Green sea turtle), 295 nucleotides. RefSeq lists it as uncharacterized. NCBI's taxonomy places the organism in Eukaryota, Metazoa, Chordata, Testudines, Cheloniidae. The transcript has 3 exons. The record is from RefSeq and is a predicted model, not a curated record.
UCUUACCCUGUUGGGCUAGAUCUGCGGUUCUCAAACUGUGGGUCGGGACCCUGUUUUAAUGAGGUCACCAGGCCUGGCAUUAGACUUGCUAGGGCCUGGUGCCAAAGCCCUAGCCCCAGUGCCCGGGGCCAAAGCUGAAGACCUAGGGCAUCAGCACUGUGUGGCGGGGCUCAGAUUACAGGACCCCUGCCUGGAGCUGAAGCUCUUGGGCUUUAGGCCCCCGCCUGGGGUGGCGGGGCUCGGGUGGGCUCAGUCCCCAUCCUGGGGUCGUGUUGUAAUUUUUGUUGUCAGAGGG